Molecule: long non-coding RNA, 369 nt
Organism: Mytilus trossulus (common blue mussel)
Lineage: Eukaryota; Metazoa; Mollusca; Bivalvia; Mytilida; Mytilidae
Exons: 3
Source: RefSeq, a predicted model, not a curated record
ACUUGUUGUUUUUCGACAACAUCAUUGCGACAUUUACAAUAUCUUCAAACAUGACCGUUGUUCCCUUGAACACUUACAGUUUUGAGUAAGAAAAUCGCCAAAAACUAAGAUUCAUCAACGUCCAUGUUUAGCUUGUCACGUCACACUCAUUAUCAUCAGCUGUUGAGCACCUUGUCAAAGAAGUCGGCACAUGGAAAUCACAAUGGAAAGGAGGAUUUUGCAUACAUUUUGAGAAUUUGUAUUCACUGGGUUUUCUACUGCUUCCAAGUGACUUGACAUGUAGGAAGUCUGCAUUAUCAUGAUUUUAAGAUAAAUGAGAAACAAUGGCUACUUCCAAUACAAUAGCACAUUUGAUAAAAUGAAUAAGAC